AGUGUAGGCGGCUAUUUAAGUCGGAUGUGAAAGCCCAGGGCUCAACCCUGGACGUGCAUUUGAAACAGCAAGACUUGAGUACGGGAGAGGAAAGCGGAAUUCCUGGUGUAGAGGUGAAAUUCGUAGAUAUCAGGAGGAACACCGAUGGCGAAGGCAGCUUUCUGGACCGAUACUGACGCUGAGGCGCGAAGGCGUGGGUAGCGAACAGGAUUAGAUACCCUGGUAGUCC
This 229-nucleotide ribosomal RNA is filed under the name uncultured bacterium. RNAcentral's name for it is "partial 16S ribosomal RNA". It matches the Rfam family "Bacterial small subunit ribosomal RNA", at positions 568 to 796 of the family's 1533-position model. The record is from RNAcentral.